Molecule: long non-coding RNA, 813 nt
Filed under: Citrus x clementina
Lineage: Eukaryota; Viridiplantae; Streptophyta; Magnoliopsida; Sapindales; Rutaceae
Description: Citrus clementina (C. clementina) long non-coding RNA (CCLE_LNC006121)
Source: RNAcentral
CGGCCUUCGGGCGGUUAUUUUUGAACAAGAGUUUGCCCGCGGCCUAUUUUUGGCACACAAAGGCCCCUUGCAAAGUCUCGCGGCAUUCCGAGUUCGGCGGACGAAGUUGGCCAGCCCCACCCCCCAAGGCUAUAGCCCACCCGUUUUUGUGGCCUUUUUCCGCUGGACGAACUUGGCGCCCCAGCCUUCGGGGGGUUAUUUUUGGGCAAGGCUUUGCCCGCGGCCUAUUUUUGGCACACGGAGGCCCCUCGCAAAGUCUCGCAGCAUUCCGAGUCCGGCGGACGAAGUUGGCCAGCGCCACCCCCCAAGGCUAUAGCCCACCCGUUUUUGUGGCCUUUUUCCGCUGACCGAACUUGGCGUCCCGGCCUUCGGGUGGUUAUUUUUGGGCCCGGCUUUGUCCGCGGCCUAUUUGUGGCACACGAAUGCCGCUCGUAAAGUCUCGCGGCAUUCCGAGUCCGGCGGACGAAGUAGGCCAGCCCCACCCCCCAAGGCUAUAGCCCACCCGUUUUUGUGGCCUUUUUCCGCUGGACGAACUUGGCGCCCCGGCCUUCUGGCGGUUAUUUUUGGGCGCGGCUUUGCCCGCGGCCUAUUUUUGGCAAACGGAGGCCCCUCGCAAUGUGUCGCAUCAUUUCGAGUCCGGCGGACGAAGUUGGCCAGCCCCACCCCCCAAGGCUAUAGCCCACCCGUUUUUGUGGCCUUUUACCGCUGGACGAACUUGGCGCCCCGGCCUUCGGGGAGUUAUUUUUGGGUGCGGCUUUGCCCGCGGCCUAUUUUUGGUACACGGAGGCCCCUCGCAUUGUCUCGCGGCAUUCC